GCCUGGGUGGCUCAGUCGGUUGAGCGUCUGACUUUGGCUCGGAUCAUGAUCUCAUGGUUCAUGGGUUUGAGUCCCACAUCGGGCU
Molecule: transfer RNA, 85 nt
Filed under: Felis catus (domestic cat)
Lineage: Eukaryota; Metazoa; Chordata; Mammalia; Carnivora; Felidae
Also listed under: 1 other name
Rfam family: tRNA
About the family: Transfer RNA (tRNA) molecules are approximately 80 nucleotides in length. Their secondary structure includes four short double-helical elements and three loops (D, anti-codon, and T loops). Further hydrogen bonds mediate the characteristic L-shaped molecular structure. tRNAs have two regions of fundamental functional importance: the anti-codon, which is responsible for specific mRNA codon recognition, and the 3' end, to which the tRNAs corresponding amino acid is attached (by aminoacyl-tRNA synthetases). tRNAs cope with the degeneracy of the genetic code in two manners: having more than one tRNA (with a specific anti-codon) for a particular amino acid; and 'wobble' base-pairing, i.e. permitting non-standard base-pairing at the 3rd anti-codon position.
Source: Rfam by way of RNAcentral